This 1032-nucleotide long non-coding RNA is filed under the name Manacus vitellinus (golden-collared manakin). RNAcentral's name for it is "lncRNA (ENSMVIG00005016013.1)". Lineage: Eukaryota; Metazoa; Chordata; Aves; Passeriformes; Pipridae. The record is from RNAcentral.
GCUGAUGUAGAGCUGAAGAAUCACUCCUGUAAUGUUGGGGUGCUGACAGUCUGAGAGUCUGUGUCUGGGACUAGAAAUAUGUGGCAACACUCAGAAGAACUAUAAUUAACCUCAAUGUGACUGGAAUUUAGCAAGCAAAGGAAAUCACCCAAUAUUUUCACAGUGGUGAAAUUGUUAAAAAGAAUUCACAUUUCCAAGGUUAAAAAUAAUUCAGAAUCUGACAAGAAAAGCUCUCUAUGACAACAGAGCAGGCAGAGCUGUGAGUCAGAAUGUACACACAAACACAACUGCACCCCAAGCAAACAGGCUGCAUCACUUUGUAAAAGUUUAUGAAGACCUGUGUAGUGAGCACAGCACAUAUGAAAGUUCAUGUCCUUAGUGUCAUCAAGAGGGCAGGCCAUCUAGAGGAAAAGGGGACCAAACUGAAUCAGAAGUCUUUUGCAACAAGGAGCUGAAAGAUUCCAACUCUCCUGGGAUUCAUUUCUUCAGGGAAGUCUCUCUUGCCCUCAUUGAAGAGGAGUGCAGUAGGUCAAUGUUCUGAGAAGUCUCAGGAAAGCAGAUGAACUGCCAAAAGAGAUGCAGUCUGUGGUCACUAUGGGAAAAACCAAACAAAUCCAGUGUCACUCGUUUCUUCUGUAGAAGUGCCUCACCCCACCUUCAGAAUAAGCAUACAUGCCUGUAAUGUUUCUCACUAUCUAAAAGGGAGAUCUUGGAAAGAUGGUUCACGUUAAAUGUUUUUACCUGCACUCUGGCACAUGUAUGGUCUGGACAUGUCUGCUUUGCUUUUGGGGAGAUACUGAAUACCUGUGCUAACAUCAUCUGCUGCAGGGAGCAAUCUGUGGUCCCUACUCCAAGCAGCAGAUAGUGCCUUGUAUCACUUGCUCUAAUCUUGUUUACAUCAGAUUGCUGGUGUGCAGGAAAACACUUUUCAUCCUCCUCCUCUGUGUCCCAGUGUGGCAUCAAUAACCUUCAAAGGGAAAAAAAAAAAAAGAGAGACACAUUGCUAUUUACUAGGAAGGUGAUUUGAAGUCC